AAGAGUUGCAAAACUCCCUUCAUACCAUCGCGAACGCUACCCGAUUCCCGUUGCUUCGGCGGGGGUCCCCUCUCCAAAACGGGAGCCCCCGCCGGAGGAACGCAGCCAUAUACUCUUGUAUUUGCUGGCCUCUCUGAGUACGAUUUAUGCGAAUAAGUCA
This 160-nucleotide unclassified non-coding RNA is filed under the name soil metagenome. RNAcentral's name for it is "partial internal transcribed spacer 1". The record is from RNAcentral.